RNAcentral lists this ribosomal RNA (411 nucleotides) under uncultured Ornithinimicrobium sp. RNAcentral describes it as "bacterial SSU rRNA". It matches the Rfam family "Bacterial small subunit ribosomal RNA", at positions 338 to 741 of the family's 1533-position model. Lineage: Bacteria; Bacillati; Actinomycetota; Actinomycetes; Micrococcales; Ornithinimicrobiaceae. The record is from RNAcentral.
CCUACGGGAGGCAGCAGUGGGGAAUUUUGGACAAUGGGGGCAACCCUGAUCCAGCCAUGCCGCGUGUAUGAAGAAGGCCUUCGGGUUGUAAAGUACUUUUGUUAGGGAAGAAAAGGGAAGUGCUAAUACCACUUUUUGCUGACGGUACCUAAAGAAUAAGCACCGGCUAACUACGUGCCAGCAGCCGCGGUAAUACGUAGGGUGCGAGCGUUAAUCGGAAUUACUGGGCGUAAAGCGAGCGCAGACGGUUAUUUAAGCAGGAUGUGAAAUCCCCGGGCUUAACCUGGGAACUGCGUUCUGAACUGGAUAGCUAGAGUGUGUCAGAGGGGGGUAGAAUUCCACGUGUAGCAGUGAAAUGCGUAGAGAUGUGGAGGAAUACCGAUGGCGAAGGCAGCCCCCUGGGAUAACACU